RNAcentral lists this ribosomal RNA (246 nucleotides) under Triticum aestivum (bread wheat). RNAcentral describes it as "partial small subunit ribosomal RNA". Lineage: Eukaryota; Viridiplantae; Streptophyta; Magnoliopsida; Poales; Poaceae. The record is from RNAcentral.
AUGGAGAAGCUUGGCCUUGCAGAGAACGAUCUGGAAGAUGUAGUCUUCAAGGAACAAGAACCCCCCCCCCCACCAGAGUCGGUCCGUUGGAUGGCAUUGGCUAGGGUUCAUACUGAAAAAUCCUACAGCCAAUACUGGUUCUUCAAGACAAUGAGAGCAGCAUGGGAUCUGGCACAAGAGGUAAAGUUUAGACCCCUCGAAGAUAACCUAUACACUAUGCAGUUCUCGUGCUUGGGCGAUUGGGAU